CUACGGGUGGCAGCAGUGAGGAAUUUUGCGCAAUGGGGGAAACCCUGACGCAGCAACGCCGCGUGAGUGAUGAAGGCCUUCGGGUCGUAAAGCUCUGUCAAGUGGGAAGAACCUGGUAGAGGUUAAUACCCUUUAUCACUGACGGUACCACUGAAGGAAGCACCGGCUAACUCCGUGCCAGCAGCCGCGGUAAUACGGGGGGUGCAAGCGUUAUUCGGAUUUACUGGGCGUAAAGCGCGCGCAGGCGGUUUUUUAAGGCGGAUGUGAAAGCCCGGGGCUCAACCCCGGAAGUGCAUUCGAUACUGGGAGACUUGAGUAUGGGAGAGGGAAGUGGAAUUCCUGGUGUAGAGGUGAAAUUCGUAGAUAUCAGGAGGAACACCGGUGGCGAAGGCGACUUCCUGGACCAAUACUGACGCUGAGGCGCGAAGGCGUGGGGAGCAAACAGGAUUAGAUACCCCCGUAGUC
Molecule: ribosomal RNA, 465 nt
Filed under: uncultured bacterium
Lineage: Bacteria
Description: partial 16S ribosomal RNA
Rfam family: Bacterial small subunit ribosomal RNA
Source: RNAcentral